This 514-nucleotide ribosomal RNA is filed under the name uncultured bacterium. Its description in RNAcentral is "bacterial SSU rRNA". It matches the Rfam family "Bacterial small subunit ribosomal RNA", at positions 8 to 526 of the family's 1533-position model. The record is from RNAcentral.
AGAGUUUGAUCCUGGCUCAGGAUGAACGCUAGCGGCAGGCCUAACACAUGCAAGUCGAGGGGUAGGGUAGCAAUACCCGAGACCGGCGCACGGGUGCGUAACGCGUAUGCAACCUACCUUUUACAGGGGGAUAGCCCAGAGAAAUUUGGAUUAAUACCCCAUGGAGUAUUUGAGUGGCAUCACUUGAUUACUAAAGUUCCAACGGUAAAAGAUGGGCAUGCGUCCUAUUAGCUAGAUGGUAAGGUAACGGCUUACCAUGGCUACGAUAGGUAGGGGUCCUGAGAGGGAGAUCCCCCACACUGGUACUGAGACACGGACCAGACUCCUACGGGAGGCAGCAGUGAGGAAUAUUGGACAAUGGGCGCAAGCCUGAUCCAGCCAUGCCGCGUGCAGGAAGAAGCAUCUAUGGUGUGUAAACUGCUUUUGUACGGGAAGAAACACUCCUUCGUGAAGGAGCUUGACGGUACCGUAAGAAUAAGGAUCGGCUAACUCGUGCCAGCAGCCGCGGUAAUAC